GACGAACGCUGGCGGCGUGCUUAACACAUGCAAGUCGAACGGAAAGGCCCUGCUUUUGUGGGGUGCUCGAGUGGCGAACGGGUGAGUAACACGUGAGUAACCUGCCCUUGACUUUGGGAUAACUUCAGGAAACUGGGGCUAAUACCGUAUAGGAGCUCCUGCUGCAUGGUGGGGGUUGGAUCGUUUCGGCGGUUGGGGAUGGACUCGCGGCUUAUCAGCUUGUUGGUGGGGUAGUGGCUUACCAAGGCUUUGACGGGUAGCCGGCCUGAGAGGGUGACCGGCCACAAUGGGACUGAGAUACGGCCCAGACUCCUACGGGAGGCAGCAGUGGGGAAUAUUGCACAAUGGGCGGAAGCCUGAUGCAGCAACGCCGCGUGCGGGAUGACGGCCUUCGGGGUGUAAACCGCUUUCGCCUGUGACGAAGCGUGAGUGACGGUAAUGGAUAAAGAAGCACCGGCUAACUACGUG
This 468-nucleotide ribosomal RNA is filed under the name uncultured bacterium. RNAcentral's name for it is "partial 16S ribosomal RNA". It matches the Rfam family "Bacterial small subunit ribosomal RNA", at positions 28 to 507 of the family's 1533-position model. The record is from RNAcentral.